UAAAAUUUUUUUAAAAGACGAGAAGACCCUAUAGAGUUUUAUAUUUUAAUUUAUUUGCUAUCUAGAAAUUAGGCUAGGUUAAAUUAUUUGGUUGGGGUGACUCAAGGAUUAAUUAAAUUCUUUGAUUUUGGGAUUGUUGAUUUUUAAAUUUAUUUUCUGUAUUUUCAAGUUUAAAUUAAAUUACCUUAGGGAUAACAGCGUAAUUUUUCUUUAAAGUUCUUAUUAAAAGGAGAGUUUGCGACCUCGAUGUUGGAUUAAAAUAAAUUUUUGGUGCAGUAACUUAGGGAUUAGGUCUGUUCGACCUUUAAAAUUUUACAUGAUCUGAGUUUAGACCGGCGUGAGCCAGGUUAGAUUCUAUCUUUAGGAUUUUAUAAUAUUUUAGUACGAAAGGACCAAAUAUUGGUUAUAUUAAUUG
Molecule: ribosomal RNA, 415 nt
Filed under: Dilophotes sp. AM LB-2014
Lineage: Eukaryota; Metazoa; Arthropoda; Insecta; Coleoptera; Lycidae
Description: partial 16S ribosomal RNA
Rfam family: Bacterial large subunit ribosomal RNA (bases 191-349)
Source: RNAcentral